AUCCGGCUGACGAGUCCCAAAUAGGACGAAACGCGCAUCCUGGAU
This is a non-coding RNA of Schistosoma mattheei, 45 nucleotides long. The record is from Rfam. Lineage: Eukaryota; Metazoa; Platyhelminthes; Trematoda; Strigeidida; Schistosomatidae.